This 62-nucleotide transfer RNA is filed under the name Microthoracius praelongiceps. RNAcentral describes it as "tRNA-Ile". The record is from RNAcentral. Lineage: Eukaryota; Metazoa; Arthropoda; Insecta; Psocodea; Microthoraciidae.
AAUAUUGUGCCUGAACUGUAAGGGCUGUUUUGAUGAAACAGCAAUGGUGAAACCCUUUAUUU